GGUCCAGACUCCUACGGGAGGCAGCAGUGGGGAAUAUUGCACAAUGGGGGAAACCCUGAUGCAGCGACGCCGCGUGAGCGAUGAAGUAUUUCGGUAUGUAAAGCUCUAUCAGCAGGGAAGAAAAUGACGGUACCUGACUAAGAAGCCCCGGCUAACUACGUGCCAGCAGCCGCGGUAAUACGUAGGGGGCAAGCGUUAUCCGGAUUUACUGGGUGUAAAGGGAGCGUAGACGGCGGUGCAAGCCAGAUGUGAAAGCCCGGGGCUCGACCCCGGGACUGCAUUUGGAACUGUGUGGCUGGAGUGUCGGAGAGGCAGGCGGAAUUCCUAGUGUAGCGGUGAAAUGCGUAGAUAUUAGGAGGAACACCAGUGGCGAAGGCGGCCUGCUGGACGAUGACUGACGUUGAGGCUCGAAAGCGUGGGUAUCAAACAGGAUUAGAUCCCCCAGUA
RNAcentral lists this ribosomal RNA (447 nucleotides) under uncultured bacterium. RNAcentral describes it as "bacterial SSU rRNA". It matches the Rfam family "Bacterial small subunit ribosomal RNA", at positions 328 to 792 of the family's 1533-position model. The record is from RNAcentral.